This is a long non-coding RNA of Dipodomys spectabilis (banner-tailed kangaroo rat), 648 nucleotides long. RefSeq lists it as uncharacterized. The transcript is spliced from 3 exons. The record is from RefSeq and is a predicted model, not a curated record. NCBI's taxonomy places the organism in Eukaryota, Metazoa, Chordata, Mammalia, Rodentia, Heteromyidae.
CUCCCAGCGCGGGCUUUGCAGCCUCCGCGCGCGUCCGCUGUGGGGAGAGUCGGCUUCCCGGAGUAGGCUGACGGGGCGCCGGUGGAGAUAAGGAUCCCCAAAGACCACCAAGGAGCCGAUUCCGCUGCAAGCUCGAGCCUGGACUCACAAACGUCCCCCACGCAGCGGGUGGAGAGCCCGACUUCCAGUUUAGCAAGGGUACCCCAAGGAAGACUGCCGCCCCUCACCCUACAUACCGAUGAAAGACCCCAGACGCUCAGCCCGAAGCCCCCCAUCGAGCCCUUUAGGAGAGACUGCUGCCCCUCACCCUACAUACCGAAGAGAGUGGGGCCGGAUACGUGCAGGCCGCUAACCAGGAAAUGAAACCACGGGCCUCUGAGUCACCGCCUGCAGACCCUAGCAUGACCUUAGUACAUGCCUUAAAACCAGGCAUUCCGGUAAAAUAGCCGACCACCACAUUCCUUCCUGUAAAACUUAGCCUUAAUACUAGGAUGAGGCAGGAUGUGAUAAAUCACUUGUCAAAACUAGGGAACAAACAGUUUCGGUGCAUAGCGGCCAACACAGGCAUGUCAGGGCAAGUACCGACACGUCAGCUCUCCCCCAACCCCACCUACCCCAUCUGGCCAGCCUAACCUGACCAAUCCUCAC